Molecule: non-coding RNA, 72 nt
Organism: Parelaphostrongylus tenuis
Lineage: Eukaryota; Metazoa; Nematoda; Chromadorea; Rhabditida; Metastrongylidae
Source: the annotation of a GenBank genome assembly
ACCUCAGUGGUGUAGUGAUUGCAUGCGGGCCCUGGUAUGGUUGAAACGUGGGUUCAACUCACGUCUGAGGCC